Molecule: ribosomal RNA, 253 nt
Filed under: uncultured bacterium
Lineage: Bacteria
Description: partial 16S ribosomal RNA
Rfam family: Bacterial small subunit ribosomal RNA
Source: RNAcentral
UACGAAGGGGGCUAGCGUUGCUCGGAAUCACUGGGCGUAAAGGGCGCGUAGGCGGGCUCUUAAGUCAGGGGUGAAAGCCCAAGGCUCAACCUUGGAAUUGCCUUUGAUACUGAGGGCCUUGAGACCGGAAGAGGUCGGCGGAACUGCGAGUGUAGAGGUGAAAUUCGUAGAUAUUCGCAAGAACACCAGUGGCGAAGGCGGCCGACUGGUCCGGUUCUGACGCUGAGGUGCGAAAGCGUGGGGAGCGAACAGG